RNAcentral lists this ribosomal RNA (386 nucleotides) under uncultured bacterium. RNAcentral's name for it is "bacterial SSU rRNA". It matches the Rfam family "Bacterial small subunit ribosomal RNA", at positions 30 to 417 of the family's 1533-position model. The record is from RNAcentral.
AUUGAACGCUGGCGGCAUGCCUUACACAUGCAAGUCGAACGGCAGCGGGCCUUCGGGUGCCGGCGAGUGGCGAACGGGUGAGUAAUGCAUCGGAACGUGCCAUUGAGUGGGGGGAUAACGUAGCGAAAGUUGCGCUAAUACCGCAUAUUCUGUGAGCAGGAAAGCAGGGGACCGCAAGGCCUUGCGCUCUUUGAGCGGCCGAUGUCAGAUUAGCUAGUUGGUGGGGUAAAGGCCUACCAAGGCGACGAUCUGUAGCGGGUCUGAGAGGAUGAUCCGCCACACUGGAACUGAGACACGGUCCAGACUCCUACGGGAGGCAGCAGUGGGGAAUUUUGGACAAUGGGGGCAACCCUGAUCCAGCCAUGCCGCGUGAGUGAAGAAGGCCU